RNAcentral lists this ribosomal RNA (396 nucleotides) under uncultured bacterium. RNAcentral's name for it is "partial 16S ribosomal RNA". It matches the Rfam family "Bacterial small subunit ribosomal RNA", at positions 523 to 918 of the family's 1533-position model. The record is from RNAcentral.
AUACAGAGGGUGCAAGCGUUAAUCGGAUUUACUGGGCGUAAAGCGCGCGUAGGUGGCUAAUUAAGUCAAAUGUGAAAUCCACGAGCUUCACUUGGGAAUUGCAUUCGAUACUGUUUAGCUAGAGUAUGGGAGAGGAUGGUAGAAUUCCAGGUGUAUCGGUUAAAUGCGUAGAGAUAUGGAGGAAUACCGAUGGCGAAGGAAGCCAUCUUGCCUAAUACUGACACUGAGGUGCGAAAGCAUGGGGAGCAAACAGGAUUAGAUUCCCUGGUAGUCCAUGCCGUAAACGAUGUCUACUAGCCGUUGGGGCCCUUGAGGCUUUAGUGGCGCAGCUAACGCGAUAAGUAGACCGCCUGGGGAGUACGGUCGCAAGACUAAAACUCAAAUGAAUUGACGGGG